AAUCACAGAAUCCCAGAAUCCCAGGUUGGAAGGGACCUCAGGGAUCAUCUAGCCCAACCUUUCUAGGAAGAGCACAGUCUAGACAAGAUGGCCCAGCACCCUGUCCAGACAACUCUUGAAGGUGUCCAACGUGGCCGAGUCAACCACUUCCCUGGGGAGAUUAGUCCAAUGGUGACUGUCCUCAUUGUGAAGCUGAGAAGCCUUGCAGCAAAUGAUUGUAUUUUGCUACAGAAUACGACCACAACAGAGUGAAAACAGAGUCCUUGAAGCGGCACCAUGUGAACCAGGUGUGGCCCCGGCGUGCCGGAAUAAUACACUCACCUUGUCCACAAUGCAGAUCGGCUUCUUGCUUUGCACAUCAAGAAUUUCCACUUCAAACAUUUGAAAUAACACAUCUAGAGAGUCCCUAUUAGAAGAAGCCAGAUCCUGAAAUUCCAGAGCCCCAGAGGACUCGGGUAUGAAUGCAGCAAAUUCCACUCUUACCUACUGAGACGGAUGUUUAAAAGUGUCUACCUACGCGCAUAGGUAUAGACUUUUCUGCCUAUACAGCUAAAUCAGCUGCCCCCAGACUACUACCAUUCUCAGUAAUGACCCUGAUGAAGAAGUGAUGCUACCCCAACUUGGAUAUUGUCCUGGGCUAGUGCCUUCUGUUUCAUCUUUAUUUCUGCCAAGACUACACCAGGAUCCCCUCACUAGUGUUGUUUAAAACAGUAAAGGAAAUAUACCAUAUUUAAGACACUACAAGAAACCCACUCUUUAUUUAUACCUCAGAAGCAGAAUUGAAGUUUCACCUGAGAUCAGACCAUUUUUCCACUAGGGCUGGGGCCCGGUCCAGCAUGGGCAGCAGGGCUCAGCCAGGCAGCUCUGCUUGCAGCAGGGUUGGGUGAAAAUGUCACUGACCUACUACUUCCAGUUCAGCAGGAUCGCAUGGUCAAGAUUACCACCUCAUCGAACUUGCCAUCUUCACACCUGGAGCCGACACAUACCCUGAAAUAAAACCUGACUUUCAUGAGGAAACCCAGCCAGACUGCAGGAUCCUGACAGAAUCACACUGCAGACAACUGUGGUCAUCACUACCAUAAAAAAUCCCUGCUCCAACUUGCUUUCUGCUGCAGCUUUCUACUGAGAGCAAACCACAUACCAGUACCGCAGUUUAGAGGUCUUUGUGCCAGAGCUCUUGGUGUUAUUACAGCCUCAAGAGGAACUGGCUGUACCUGCAAGUCUCAUUACAGCGUUUAGAACAAAGCAGACUGACCACUGGUGGUGCUGCUGAUCACUGGUGUAAGCUAAGCACAGGACUACCUAUACAGAGGGAAACAGAGACUCCACCUUGGAAUGUUUCACAGAAUCACAGACUCCCAGGUUGGAAGGGACCUCAGGGAUCAUCUAGUCCAACCUUCCUAGGAAGAGCACAGCCUAGACAAGAUGGCCCAGCACCCUGUCCAGACGACUCUUGAAGGUGUCCAACAUGGCCGAGUCAACCACUUCCCUGGGGAGAUUAUUCCAAUGGUGACUGUCCUCACUGUGAAGAGUUUUCCUCUUGUGUCCAAUCGGAAUCUCCCCAAGAGCAACUUGUGGCCAUUCCCCCUGCCCGGGACCUCACACAUUUCCUUCAGAGCACUUCCUUACCAGACUAACACCCAUUUAAACUUAAAUACAUGGUUCUUAAGCCAGAAUAAAAAUACAGCUUUAAUGAAUAGGACCAAAAAAGAGUUUCUCUUGAAGUUUCUCCCAGAAAAUAUCUCUAUUUUCAGCUAGCUGUAGCAUUCAAGGGUAAAAAAGAAUCUGUCAGAACAGAAACAUAGCAACCGUCUAUCUUGCUUUUGCACAUCUUACCAGAAGGUAAGGAUGAAAUAAUUUCUGCUUGUUCUGCUUGUAUAAACUGUGUUAUUACAUGCUAACUACUGCAGCGCACCUUUUUAAAACACUCCUAAACAAAGUGAAAGGUUCUUUUAAGAACAGUGGAGGCCCCAGGAAUCCUAGACGUACAGCCCAGCAGGUCCCCUGCUGUGGCUGAUGCACAGGCUGGAGUCAUUGCCGGUGGGGCGCUGCGCAGACCUGCAAACCUGGCGGACCAGGAGACAGGCUGAGCUCCUCAGGCCCAUGCCUUUAGUUAGCACUGCUGAGAUGCUGAUAAAGAAGUAGUCAGACAACUUCACCAGCAAAAUCCUUAAUUUUAAUUGCUUUAAUACUGUUCUGUGUAUUGCUAAAGGGCAAGUUCUGAGCCAAAAAUUAAUGGGUUCCUACUUGAUGCUCUCUAGAUUUUGAGAGACAAGCAUUUCAGUAUCAGUAGUUUCUCACAUAGAUAUACUUUUCCAGCUCUCUUGCAAAAUGCAACCCAAAAAAAGGCAAACUCUUCAGCAGCAGCAUGUGCCUCAUUUUCAAUAGCUCUGUCAGCUUUGUCUCAAAGAAGCUGAAGUACAGUUUACAUCUCUCCCUCCUGAAAUCCAACAACUGAUGGAAACAAUACAGGACAAUAUAAAAGUGCCAUUGUAGCAUCUGUAACUACUUAAAAACACCAGAACAAGCAGAAAGUCAUUAGCAAGACUACUGAAACCCACAAAUUAAAUUAUAUAUUUCUCCCCUGAGGAAAAUGGGAGAUUGAGCAUCGCAAACUAUUCCAGAGUAAAAGACCAUCUGGGCAGAAUUUUGAAAACCACAGCAAGUGCAUUAGCGUGGGUUGGGCGUUUGGCCAGAGAGAGCUUUCCAAAAACUGAAGGCCUCAGGGUGCUCGGUGGACAGUGACCCGGAGGCUGAGCUCAGAAGCAACACAAACCGAAAUGAAAUUCUUUGCUGCAGCCAGAAGAAACUUGGGUUUGGUUGAUUAACACCAACAUGUUUAUGUCCUUGAUUAAAAGUAUCUGAAUGAAGGACUUAAAAAAGGAAAUAUUUUGAAACCUAAGAAAGAUAGUAACAUUUUAUGGGAUAAAAGGUUUAGAGAUAUUUCAGUUUAGUUGUUGUCUCAUUCAGAUUAUUUUAGCCUAGAAAUUAAUAAAAUAUGGCUAUUCACACCAUCCAGCACAGGAAACUGCUGGAUGGUACAAAAAUGUACCUUUCCUAUAUACAUAAUCAGUGGACAGAAGGUAGAACAAGGCACCUAAAUCAGGCCUGGGAAAAAACACUCCCUUUUCUGUGGAGUUGCAUGCCUAAGGUUGGGCUCUCUGAAUAUCCUUCUAGUUGUCCACCAUCAGAAACUCACAAGGAAUGAAAGCUCUGCUUUCUGGUCUGCUUUAGUCACUAUGUAACCUAAAUUUUGGAAUUGGCGAACUUCUCAGAAAUGGAGGGCAGGGGUCCAGUCAAGCCGUAGGUAAUCAGAAACUGCACUUGAGAUUUCAGCUACAAAAAGCCUUCCAGUAGCACAGGACUCCCGUGAGACUUAAGACGAGUUACUUACUACCCCACUCUCAGGGCAGCGCAUGUGCACACCUGCCACCAGAGAGUGAAGGACAAGGUCAUCAUUCCAACGUUAACACUUGCAGACAAGCUUUUUAUUAUGAAAACAUCUGCAUAAAUCUGUUAGCCCCAGCACAUUUAUUGUCAUUCCUUAGUGGGCAGCCAAGAUCAAGGUCUGGCCUUCCUUUUUCAGCACGCAGCCCAAUUAACAACAGAUACAUAUAUUAAAUAAAAGCCUAUUCUGAGAGCUUUUAUUUAUCAUUUUGUUUGCAGAGUAAAUAGGUUAGGUUUAAUUUGUGUUUGUUAAAGUCCAUGAAGGUGGCUGAAUGAGAGACAAAUACAAUUAUCUUUACUAUGGGAAUAAACAUAUAAUGAAAUCCUAGCUUUCCCUCUUGAAAAUAACAUACUUCACAAUAAGUAUAGAUUUUGGCAAAGCAAUGUUCCCCUGCCACACAGCACAUGUUUAAUGAAGUUACUCCUCAGCUGUUUGGUGCUGAACUGAAUUGAGCCAAAAUGAGAAGCUAACUGAGUUUGUAAUCACUCCUAGUCCAUUAAAGUGGAAGCCUCCACCAAAGGAAAACACUUUGCAGUUUCAGUCUAAAAAGUAUGUCAGCUUAUCAAAAAUAUAAUAAUUCUGUAUUUCACAAAGCAAUUAGAGCAGAAAGCAAUCGCAGAACGGAAUUAGGAGGGACUUGUGAUCAGAUCUUCCAUCAGGAUCGCUCAGACCAGAUGGGUUCAUACAACCUCAGAACUCUCCCUUUGCCUUGUCACAUUCUGGCCAGCAACAGCUUUGGCACGCGUAUACUGAAAGAAUGCCAAUGGCACUUGCCUGCACUGCAAUUAAUAAGCAAGGUUUUAAUUUACCUAUUUAAAAAAUUACAUUCUAGGAAGCUAAUGCAAAGCCAUUUUAUUAACAAAACAAAGUAUUUUCUUUGGCCUGAAUGAAUGACUCCAAUAUUACACAGCCCACCCAAACUCAUAAGGGAAGAUUUUUUGUUUCAGAAAAAAAACCAAGACUUUUUGCAUGGAAAACUAUGUCACUGGAACAGUAUGUGCUGCAAAAUGGAGCUUUAAUAGUCAGUAAAGACAGAAAAAGGCAGUGCUUGCUACCUCAUAGCUAGCAGGUUUUCAAAUUAUGGAAUUCAUCUGUCGCACUCCACUUAGCAUAUCUGUAUCACUUCAUCAAGUAAUGCCACCAUUAGAUAGUUAUUUUAAUAGUGAACAGGUAAGUGAACAGGUAAGGGUGAUUGAACGGGGAGGAAAAAGUCAAGAUUUUUUUUUCUUUUUCUCUGAUGCUGAAGAGUAAAGGUUCCUCUUUAACUUGCUUUAAGUGUGGAGGAAUCUGAAAAAAAGGGAAUGUAAAACAAGGCAAUUUACUUAAUACAAGAGAAAUCUGCAAGCUUAUUUCAGGGCAGAUCUCUAGUGGUUCUUGCACUUCUCAAGGCUAAAUGCACACAAAGAACUUUACUGCAUGGAUAAAUGAUUUACCAUACCAUAUGACUUCUGCACCUCCCCCUCGAGCAAGGAGAUUUUCCCAUUCAAUGUCCUGAUAUAAGCACUUGGAGAAGUGGGGAAUGCAUGGAUGCUUAUUUGGAGAAUUGCCUGACGCUCUUGGCAGUUUGUAUGUUCAACUGCUGCCUCUGCUGUGGAGGCUCAAAAGACUGUGGUGUAGCUAUCCCUGCUCCAUACAGCAGCAUGGGCACAGCCAGCCCGCUCAAGAGACCUCCAGACUUUGCAACCUAGACCUUGAGAACUACUUGACCAAAGACCACUGCUUUUCAGCUGCUGUGGAGAACAAAGACGGUAAAGAUGGAGACUGAAUUUUUAGGGACAAGUCUCAAGUCACUCUGAAGUUUGGACCACAGUUUGGUCUAUGUAAAUCGUUUAUCCAUGCAGUAAAGUUCUUUGCAGUAAAGACUUGUCCCUAAAAAUUCAGCAUCCAUGCAUUCCCCACUUGGGGACAUAUGGCAGCACAGUCGUAUGGUAUGGAACAUCCCUUUGGCCAGUUUGGGAUACUGUCCUGGUUUCAGCUGGGAUUAAUUUUUUUUCCUAGUAGCUGGCAUAGUGCUGCGUUUUGGAUGUAGUAUGAGAAUAAUGUUGAUAACACACUGGUGUUUUAGUUAUUGCUAAGUAGUGUUUAUACAAAAUCAAGGACUUUUCAGCUCCCCAUGCUUCUGCCAGGUGCACAAGAAGCUGGGAGGAGACACAGGCUGGACAACUGACCCCAACCGGCCAAAGGGAUAUUUCACACCAUAUGACAUCAUGCUCAGUAUAUUAAGCGGGGAGACUUGGCCAGGGGGCAGCAGUUGCUGCUUGGGGACAGGCUGGGCAUCAGUCAGCGGGUGGUGAGCAGUUGCAUCACUUGUUUCUCCUGGGUUUCGUUCCAGUCUCUCUCCUUUUUGUGGCUUUCCUUUUCACUACAAUAUUAUUAUUAUUGUUGUUAUUAUUAUGAUGAUUAUGAUUAUUAUAUUUUAAUUAUUAAACUGUU
Molecule: non-coding RNA, 5881 nt
Organism: Phalacrocorax carbo (great cormorant)
Lineage: Eukaryota; Metazoa; Chordata; Aves; Suliformes; Phalacrocoracidae
Source: RefSeq, a predicted model, not a curated record